UACGUAGGCACCAAGCGUUGUCCGGAUUUACUGGGCGUAAAGAGCUCGUAGGCGGUUCUGUAAGUCGGGUGUGAAAACUCUGGGCUCAACCCAGAGACGCCACCCGAUACUGCUGUGACUUGAGUACGGUAGGGGAGAGGGGAAUUCCUGGUGUAGCGGUGAAAUGCGCAGAUAUCAGGAGGAACACCAGUGGCGAAGGCGCCACUCUGGGCCGUAACUGACGCUGAGGAGCGAAAGCGUGGGUAGCAAACAGG
RNAcentral lists this ribosomal RNA (254 nucleotides) under uncultured bacterium. RNAcentral's name for it is "partial 16S ribosomal RNA". It matches the Rfam family "Bacterial small subunit ribosomal RNA", at positions 524 to 776 of the family's 1533-position model. The record is from RNAcentral.